RNAcentral lists this ribosomal RNA (231 nucleotides) under Shewanella sp. HR11-02. Its description in RNAcentral is "partial 16S ribosomal RNA". It matches the Rfam family "Bacterial small subunit ribosomal RNA", at positions 1161 to 1391 of the family's 1533-position model. The record is from RNAcentral. Lineage: Bacteria; Pseudomonadati; Pseudomonadota; Gammaproteobacteria; Alteromonadales; Shewanellaceae.
AACCGGAGGAAGGUGGGGACGACGUCAAGUCAUCAUGGCCCUUACGAGUAGGGCUACACACGUGCUACAAUGGCGAGUACAGAGGGUUGCGAAGCCGCGAGGUGAAGCUAAUCCCAGAAAGCUCGUCGUAGUCCGGAUUGGAGUCUGCAACUCGACUCCAUGAAGUCGGAAUCGCUAGUAAUCGUGGAUCAGAAUGCCACGGUGAAUACGUUCCCGGGCCUUGUACACACC